UACGUAGGGGGCGAGCGUUGUCCGGAUUCAUUGGGCGUAAAGCGCGCGCAGGCGGUUGGCAGAGCCCGGCGUGAAAGCCCCCAGCUCAACUGGGGGAGGCCGGUCGGAGACCUGUCGACUGGAGGCCGGGUAGGGGAGAGCGGAAUUCCCGGUGUAGCGGUGAAAUGCGCAGAUAUCGGGAGGAACACCGGUGGCGAAGGCGGUUCUCUGGGCCUGUACUGACGCUGAGGAACGAAAGCGUGGGGAGCGAACAGGG
This 256-nucleotide ribosomal RNA is filed under the name uncultured bacterium. RNAcentral describes it as "partial 16S ribosomal RNA". It matches the Rfam family "Bacterial small subunit ribosomal RNA", at positions 524 to 777 of the family's 1533-position model. The record is from RNAcentral.